RNAcentral lists this long non-coding RNA (567 nucleotides) under Olea europaea (common olive). RNAcentral's name for it is "long non-coding RNA (OEUR_LNC013572)". Lineage: Eukaryota; Viridiplantae; Streptophyta; Magnoliopsida; Lamiales; Oleaceae. The record is from RNAcentral.
UGAACGCUGCAGAGGUCGGUAACUGGAACUGGCCGACGAGGGACGCCUCAACGAAGUGGGGCGCCGGUGAGAGAGAUGAUUCGGUUUCUGGUUAUGGACGUCGGGCAAGGUUAACGAACUUUUCUGGAAUUAAACUUUUCGGGUUUUGAGAAUAAACAGGUUGAUUAUUUGGAAGCUGUCUGGAUUGGGGUCUGUGUGGAGCAUCAAGAAUUAACUUUCUGGUUGAUACGAUAGUGCACCAUAGGGUGGUAUAUAUAGGAAUAGGUUCUGUGAAUUUUUGAUUUGUGGGUUAAUGAAGAUGUUUGUGAGAUUUGCAAUAGCGGGUAUCGGUGUAUGGAGAAGAUGAUGCUGGUAAUUAUUGGACAACGGUCGAAGGUGAUGCAGAGUACACAAUGGCGACUACGAAGUAGUUGUGUUGGCGGCGGUGUCUGCUAAUUUGGGACGACGGUAGAGUUGAAAUUGUCGCUGUUUUUUUUUUCUAGAAUAUUUUUUUGAUGAAGAAAACCAGGUUUGCUCUGAUACCAAUUUGAUGUAGUACGAAAACAAAUGAUGAAGAAGGAGAAAGGG